Molecule: long non-coding RNA, 1809 nt
Organism: Felis catus (domestic cat)
Lineage: Eukaryota; Metazoa; Chordata; Mammalia; Carnivora; Felidae
Exons: 2
Source: RefSeq, a predicted model, not a curated record
CUCUGCCCCUCCCCUGCUCACACUGUCUGUCCCUGUCUCUCAAAAGUAAAACAUUAAAUUAAAAAAAAAAAUUAAAAAAUAAAUGAAUUUCUCAACACCGGGGACCAUGUUUAUUUCCCUCCCCAGAAGACUGGGAAGCUUUCUGAUGUUCUGUCCCCUCUCUGGCUUGUACCUGAAUGUCCAGCCCAGAUGGCCAGGUUCUGCAUGAAGGAGAGAAUGAGAACAGAGCACUUGCUGAGUGACCUAGAGAUUCCCAUCCAAGAGUCCCUGCAUUUGACUUGCUCGAAGCCCUCUCUCUGGGAGCCAUCCUGAUGGUGCCUUUGCCACUGCAGACCUCUGCUGGGCAUUUCCCACAGUGGAGGAAGAGGAGAAAGAAGCUGUGACCUCGGGCAACUUAUGCCCGAGGCAACUUUUCUGUGAUUCCAAAUCUACUCCCUGGGGUCGUUUUGAGAAAUGGGUUAACAUCAGCAUCUCCCAGCACCGCCCGGCCCACGGUAAGCAUCUGCAAAUAUGAGUUGCUGUAUUCUCACUGUGGUUAUGAUCCCUGCCCAGCCCGGGGAUGGUAUUGGUGUUCCUCUGCUGAAAGAAAAUGCUCUAUGUGAGGGAGCUCUUGCCUGGCUGAGGCUGUGUGUCGACUCCUGAACCUGUCCAGCCCCAGGGACAGCCUCACCUCCCUUGAAGCCCGCCGCACUUCUUACUUGGCAAGAUGGUCUUAUAUCGGUCCUUGGAGGCGUGGCCAGGAAUAUCCAGGUCUUCAGAGUUGACAAAGUUUGAGGGGAUCUUCUGGCAGAGGGAGGAAAUGAGUGAAUAUAGCCGAUACAUCUUCCCAGCCUCCUUUGCCCCCUACCCCCCUUAUCUAGUAGAGCUGGGCCCUUGCUCUUCUCUCCUGGCUUCAGUAGGUCUGGAUGGGGUGGGGGGCAGAAGAGGGAGCAUGGGGCAGUUUUCUCCCCUGAUCCUAGGGUUCUCUUUCCUGAGGUCCCAGAGAGGAGGCAUCCUGCAGUACCCAAGAUAGUAUGGUGCCAGCUGGCUGUCUCUGAUUCAGAAGGGCGGAUGGACUCCGAGGAGACCCCAAGUUCUUACCAGGAAUUCCUCUUCCAGCUGCUUGGGGCUGGGUGGCUGGUGCUGCAGGGCCCAGCGGGUGAGGGGGUGUCCAGCUGUGCGCAGAAAGUGUAGGGUGACCUCCCGGGGUGUGUUCACUGAGCAAAUGGGCUCUACAGCUCCCAGGGACCGCACAUCCAGCAUCAGAGCCACAUUGGAGCCUCGCCUGCAGGCACGGACAACCAGUGCCUAGUGAGUGCCCAAGAACAUCGCUGCUCUAACCAUUAUUAUUGUUCUAGGGCAUGCCUGAGGAGGCUGCUCCUUGUUUCCCCCUUGACCCACAGGCCCAGUGGGCUCCAGGUUCAGGACCCUGCUACGUGCCCUUCUUUUGUCAGAUCGGGGCAGCCUUGAACCCAACUGUUCUCUCCACCUGCCCACCCCUGCCCAUUCCUCCCUGGCCUCCAAAGGUCAGACCUACAUCCAGACCCAAGAAAGCCCUGCUCCAGGGGCUGGCUACUCAGCCCAUCUUGGGGUUUGGGAAACAGGCACGAGGUUGACGUGACACUUUAUGCCCCAGACAUGUAAAGGACAUGCAAAGGACAUGCAAAUGCACACAUGUGGUUUCCUUUUCCAGAUUGGAGUCAACAGCUGAGGGCCCUCUGGACUCAGCUGUCAGAGCUGGAGAGGCAGAUGGAAGGAAUGGGGCACAGUCUCAGAGCUGGGAAGCCCCCCCCCUUCCCCCCUCCACUCCCAGGAAAGAUCUCACCUCUC